This is a long non-coding RNA of Oreochromis aureus, 210 nucleotides long. RefSeq lists it as uncharacterized. The transcript is spliced from 3 exons. NCBI's taxonomy places the organism in Eukaryota, Metazoa, Chordata, Actinopteri, Cichliformes, Cichlidae. The record is from RefSeq and is a predicted model, not a curated record.
AUUCUUAAAUUUAUACAACUGUAUAUCAAAAAAUAUUCAAACUGUUUUCUCUUCUAAACAAAAGCCUGAUUUUUAGGAACUUGGUACACAUGGACACCCCAAGCGGGACUUACACAAGGAUCACAAAGCUAUAUAGGGCAAACAACACCUCUAAAAAACACAAGGAUCAAUAAGUUGUCCAGAAAAACCUACAGAAGCGGAGGAAAUAAG